CUGUACUGUCCCCUCCACUACAUCUCCCCUUCCCCACUAUGUCUCCCAAUCCUGGUGUCAAUAAAAGGCAGAUCUGUUAUGCCAGCAUAUUCUGAUGGACUGCUUCUAUAAAUGGUUGACCUUGACCCUGGGGGUGAACCCUUCCUUGACCCUGGGGGUGAACCCUUCCUUGACCCUGGGGGUGAACCUUGGCCUCACAGGUGUUUGUGAUAUACCUGAUGGCUUCAUCUCUGUUAGGGAGAAAUGCAGACAGACGCCCCUGUCUGAAAUAACCCACGACAAUGACCUCUGUUCCUCCUUUCCACAUUAUUUGAUAAUGGCUGGCACUCAGUAGUGUGGUUGCUCUAGGUGACAGAGCCAACUAAGCUGUAUUUGUCAGCAUGACAGUUAAUGGUGGAGGGCCUUUCAAAACUCAUUUCCUUUCCAAUCAGUGGAGGGCAGUAAACAAGUGAACUGUUUGGGAGACGUUGUGUUACAGGCCGUCAACCUCUGUGUUACAACGUGACCUCGCAGAGCUACGCCAUUAUCACAUACAGCACAUCUUAUCUCAUGGCAUGUGCCUGGUGUCAUAAAGAAUGGGAGUAAUAGAAACCUUUGGAAAGUGUGUGUGUGUGUGUGUGUGUGUAAUAUGUAAGGACUCACACAUUUCUGUUCUGUGCACGAACAGCAUUUCACGACCAAAGCGGGGGAAUUCUCAGAUUCUUGCCAUGGGAGUGGUCUGGCCGAAAGAGCACUUGUAAAUCCCAGGAUGUAGUGGCCAAUCGUCUCUGAGAAUUCCCCAUCCAAUAUCCCAUGAUCCUCUACUCCUCUGCAGCACAUUCCUAUUCACUCAUGUUACUUCUAUUGUACAACAACAGGCCCACAAAAGCAUUCCUCCCAGGAAAAGAGUUCAGGUUUACUUCUAUGUUUUUCUAAUGACUAAUAUGUUUAUCAGAGAUCAUCUGUGUAGAAAAAGAUGUGAAAACAAACCAGCUGUUCUACAAUGGGUCUUGAGUUUUUAAAUAAAACGUUGGUACUGCCGGCUUUGGCAAAACACUCUGAGGUUUUACAGAUGCCAAUAUGUCCUGUAAAUGUUAUGACAAUGAAGUUACCCUUAACAUGCGUUUGAGAAACAGGCACCCCAAGUACUUAGGUAGCAGACAGCCAACAACAAAGAUAUCCACCUUCGCCCACUUCACAGAAGCUUUAAAUAGCACCCGGUCCUUGUUCAGACCUGGCGCACUAGACCUCACUACACACCUCCAUAAAUGCCUAGAGAUAACGGUGUUACCAGCCCGGCACCAGGGCUUUACAAGGCACAAAGAAUGUCCAGGAGAAGCCCUACGCCGUGCCCUGGAGGAGGCAGACCAUAUCAGGAUCCCACAGCCCAUCACUGGUCUGUCCAGACAGAUGAAGCCAGUACCAUCAUCAUCAUCAUCAUCAUCAUCACCACCACCACCACCACCACCACCACCACCACCACCACCACUCCAUCACAAUACUGGGAGGUUUUGCUAAACUAACUCAAACUUAAUGCUCACAAGCUGCCCAGACCACACAGUGUGUGUGUGUGUGUGUGUGUGUGACCAGACCGUACUGGAAGGAACAGCCCAGUGGGAAAGGGAACACUUGACAGAAGGAAGAAUGAUGGUGAUUGGUCAGAAUUAUGGUGAUGACACUUGCCUGUACCAGGACACAUACAAAGACACACACAGACCCAAACAGACCCAAACUCCCACCAGGUUGCAGUAAUUAUCCAAUCAAGACAUUGGGGAUAUAAAGGAAUUUCCUGAAAGUUCUUGGGAUUUUGCAACCUUGAGUGGCCUAGGCCUCAACAGAAAGUCCACGACAGCUGCCAAUAAAUGAGAGGCCCUGUGGACUUUACCCCACGUUUAUCUGUGUCCCAAAGUUUAAGCCUGCAGGGUCCAAAGACAUGCCCUGGUGGCAGGGCAUUUCUUGCUUCCAAACCCAAUGACACAGUCAUAUUGAAAAAGCAAGGGACAAACAAAAAUGUACACACUGCCCCCGUUGACUCAAAACCACAUGGCCGUAACUAAAUGCCAGGUAAA
Molecule: long non-coding RNA, 2048 nt
Organism: Esox lucius (northern pike)
Lineage: Eukaryota; Metazoa; Chordata; Actinopteri; Esociformes; Esocidae
Source: Ensembl